RNAcentral lists this long non-coding RNA (1159 nucleotides) under Homo sapiens (human). RNAcentral describes it as "HSALNT0394128". The record is from RNAcentral. Lineage: Eukaryota; Metazoa; Chordata; Mammalia; Primates; Hominidae.
GAGCUGUAGGGAUUCGUAGACCUUGUCCUGUCCAUCUCCUUCAAUGUACAGGAAAGGACAGUGAAGACAGGGAGCUCAAGUGACCUCCUCCAGGGUAUAUAGCUGAAUUCAACUGUCCAGAUAGAAAGGUGGACAUGGAAAAAUUGGGCUUUGCAAAUGGUCACCCAAUUCUUGCCUUCCUGGUCUCCAGAUCACCCUUCCUAUACCGCCACUCUGGAGAAAGAAGUACAGAACGCUAACAAGCUAGAUACAGAGGACCUAACAUACAACUCAGAGUCCCUAGAAGAUGGAGAAAACACAGACAAUUGGCAGAGGAGAUGAGCAUGUGAUUAUUGUUACCACUUGUCUGGAAGCAACCAGAAUGGAGUGGGGAAGACUCAAGGAGGAGAUCUUCACAGGACUCACCUCUCAUCACAGCUCCCGUGUGGUUGUAAUCACCCCAGAGGGAAAAAUAAUUUCGGUUUUUUAUGGUUUAAUUAUUGGUGAUAGCAGCUGUUUUGAAGACACAAACACAGAAGCAAGUUCUAGAACAUACUCACAGUUUCCUUGGUCACAGUGUUGUCAGUGGUUCUAUAAAGGUCUUAUGAAUCUCUACUUAGUUGACCACAAGUAGUAAGCAAGAAACAAUCCUGUAAAGAGAAUGGAGGUCAGAAUAAAGAAGCCUUGAGGGUUUAAAUCGCUUCUUGAAAAGAAAUGCCCGUGUGUCAAGGAGCUAAGGGAGACCAGCCCAGGAGGAGCUGAAUCCUGCCAACAAUCACUUGAGUGAACUUGAGAGUGAAUCCUCUCCAUGUUAAGCCUUGAGGUGAUUGUAGCUCCAUCAAAUACCUUCAUUGUAGCCUUGUGAGAGAUCUGAGUCAGAGGAUGGAGUUAAGCCAAGCCCAGAUUCCAGACCCUCAGAAACUUGAAAGCGGAAUACCUGGUUAUCCGGAGGUCACUGUCUCCACACAGAGUGGUGUCCUUGAUGCUAGCUUGGGGCAAAGAAGCCAGGCCAGCUUGUGGUUGCAAUAGGAAUAGAAGAGACUUCCUUACUCCAAUCCCACCCUACCCCCUCAUCCUGCCUCAACCAGUCAUGCAGAGAGAUGCUGAAUGGCUGCCUGCUCUCAGGGGAAUGAUUUGUGGAGGUUUAAUUAAAAUAAUUUAAUCAAUCAAAUCCAACAAA